AAUUGCCGCCAUGUUCGCGGUGCCUGGAGGCUUUUUGAGCUGAUGGGUGAAACGGGAAACAGGUGCAAGACCUGUGCUGCCCCCGCAACGGUAAGGAAGUGUGGAACCGUCACGCGCGCCACUGGGCUUCGGCCUGGGAAGGCGACGGUUCAAGACUUCCGAGCCCGGAGACCGGCCACGGACAUGACCAUGGAA
Molecule: non-coding RNA, 195 nt
Filed under: Denitratisoma oestradiolicum
Lineage: Bacteria; Pseudomonadati; Pseudomonadota; Betaproteobacteria; Nitrosomonadales; Sterolibacteriaceae
Source: RNAcentral